Long non-coding RNA from Taeniopygia guttata (zebra finch), 5807 nucleotides. The record is from Ensembl. NCBI's taxonomy places the organism in Eukaryota, Metazoa, Chordata, Aves, Passeriformes, Estrildidae.
UCAAAUGCAUUCCAGCAGGACGACAUAAGAUACUACUCACCUCUUGCAGAGCCAUCCCUUCUUUUCCAAGAAGUGAAAACUGAAGUCAAAUUGUAAUCACAAUACACCCAUGCUCUUUCUACAGAGCGAUUACUAGCUAUUGAAAUAUUCCAUCAAGAGAAAACAUAAUCAGAUUUUAUACCAUUUUCAAGACCUAAUGCUUUUUCUGGCAUAAAAAGCUUCACAGAAGUUCAGACUAGAUGAAAAGUGUCAUACUGUUACCUUAACUAGUAAUAUAAACAACAGAUUUCUUCCCACUAAGAAUCCCAGAAAUCAUCCUGCUAUGACUGUUGGUGAGGUACAGCUGCUACAGAACUAAAACCUUGAGAAAACAGCUAAUAAAUAUUUGACCUUUGUGACCUCAGAAAGACUUCAAAACUUUCCUUACCAAAAGACCCUCUGAAGUUCCUGUCAGAAAUUGACUUGGGAAAGUUCAUAUUCCUCUUCGAUUGGUAAUGAAAGACAACACAAUACAAUUUUACAGUAGCACAGUUUAUCAUUAGAACUUAUGAAUUCCGAUCCAAUUUCUGCUUUGCUAUUUUUCUGUAGCUCCUUUUAAAGCAAUAGUAGCAAUACUGCAGAUUUAAAAAAUCUUGUUCUAGGUCACAGAGAUUUACUUGUAAUAUUUCCUCUGCUACUAAAAUAUCUUUAGGGAAAUUAUUCCAUUCCAUUUCACUGCAGCCCAUUAGUACCUACAGGCCAGCCGAGAAAGAAUAUUGCAUAUGAAAGCCUCCAUCAAGACACACCAAUCUCAGCUUGACAUAAAAAUAUAUUUCCAAUGUUCAGCUACUAAAAUACAUCAUUACUUGAAAUACAUUACCUUCUAGUACCUAAUUAAGCAACUGUUAAAAUGCUAACCUUGUUGCUUCUUCCACUUUCAGUGUUCAAGAACAUUAUAAAUUAGCCUACUGCAAAUCCUGAAAAUAAAGCAUAGUCCACUUCAAGAAGCUGCUCUCUAUGUUUACAGAAUUUUCUACAGACCGCCAACCAAGUCAUUGUGAAAUGUGCCACUUACAGAAAUAACUGGUUAAUUAUUUUCUGAAGAUAUCUGCAAUAAAACCAGAAAAUUCAGCAGGUAGAUUUGGAAAAAGAAAAAUGAGAAAGGAUCUUAAGGUUUCUGGUCAUUAUUCUGUCAACUACAACUUACGACUGGAAUUAAGCUGUUGUGCUCUUCAGCUUUAGACAAGACACAUAUUUACAAUAAAUGCAUUCUAAAUGUAUUUAGAUUCUAAAUGACCACAUAUCAAGGCAGCAUAAAAUUCAUCAUGCUAACAAAGCUGCCAGAGUUCUGUUUUUGUAAAUUUUCUAACCACAGGCUUGAACAACAAAUACUGCUUACCACCUACAUUCUGUGGCUGCAUUUUUAGAUGAUGACUUCAUUUAAUGCUGCUCUUGUGAGUAGAAGGUGUCAACCUAGUUUGUUCCAAGUUUUCACUGAAAACAUGUAAUUUUAAAUGUUUUCUUUGGAUAAAAGCAUCUCAUCCAACCUGCUAAUCUCCAGAAACUUUAAGAAGUGAAGAGAGACUGGACAACCAAUUCCUUAUGCCAUCCAGUGAAUAAUGAAGCUCUUUUUAAUACAAAUGCACCCAGUCCAGGUGCAGAAAAUAUUUCAAAAGUAAGGUUUUAGAGAUACUUUGUAUUUUAUCUCCUUCUGAGAGGCACAUCUUAAAUACUAAAUGUGUGGUACUUUUUAAAUACCAAGGCCUUUCCCUCACUUUUCAACAUAUGUACACAUGGGCCUUUGUUAAACAGACUCAUAUGUUUAUCGCUCUGUACUAACUUGAAAGAACAGUUAACAGCCUAAAGAAUUUUCAGAGUAAAUAACCACAGCCUAUUUUUUAUCAUCAUAAACAUGUGAGCAGUUCUGAAGUAUGUGUUUACAGCUCUGUAAAUACAACUGUUUGCAGGACUGGACCACAGAGAGAACAUUUUAAUUGCUGGAACAGGAUGUUGUAACACAGACAGGUCCUAACACUCACAGAGCCACAGACUGCAACAUCAGUCUCGACAGCAUUUAGCACCCUCUGACUCUCCAUCAUGGAAAACAAAUGAGAAGACAAGAGCAGCAGUGAGGUCUUUGCAAACUCCAUUCGUUACUUACUCAAUACAAAUUAUUAGCACUGCUUGUAUUUGGGAUUCUGAAACUAGUAUUAGCCUUUUGCCACCAUGCCAACCAUUGGCCCUCAACAGCCCAAUUUCACAGAUCUCAUCUUGCAAAAUCUACCAAAGAAUAGAAACAUGUCUUUUUUUUAGUAAAAGUCAGUAAAGUAGCACAAGGCAUGAGACAAAAACAUCAAUAUAUUUAAAUAAAAACAUUUUGUGCUUAGGGAAAAAGCUGUAAUCAAAUGCAUAGGACUUAAGGCAUUAAUGAAAUGAACUUUUUCCCAAAGGAGCAUUAAUAUCUCUCAAACAGGACAGUGCUCAAAGUCCCAAGACAAUUAUAUAAUUACUUAUCUUUAGACAGAGUAUUAUGUUACACAAUAUUGGAAUUGAACAAGCCUCUUGAGCAAAUCAGUAUCAAACUACUGAUGUUACAGUAUUUUCAUACCGUCCUAGGUAGUUUAGUGAACCAUUAGGAAGUUUUGACACUAACAUUAUUUUGGAUCAAAUAAUACAUGUGUUCUGUUAAUUACUAAACCAUAAAUAUUCAAUAGAUUUAAUUUUAACACUUGGUCUCCACUGGAUCAAGCUGAUUACUAGAAAUAAGUCUGUCUAAGAUGUAGCAAUGUUUCUGGUCCAUUAGGACCAUUAGGAGAGGCUUAGUGAUUAUGGCUGAGAAAGGAAUAAAGAUCACUUGAACAAUCAACCUACAAACCCAUGUAUACCAUGGGCAUACCAUGGGAGACUCCUUGACUACCAAACUCACAUACCAUUGCCACUCCUCUCUUUAAAUGACAUUAAAAUACCUGCCAUCUGGCAUUAUAUUUAUUUUUAGUACCUUUUUUAUGUUUUUCCCCAUGGAAAAAGCUUGUGAGUAAUACUUUAGAAUUAGAGUGUUAAAGUUAAAAAUACUCUUAUACACAUAAAUGAUCAUUUUAGUGUAUGUAAAAAGAUAAUAUGGUAAGUAGGCUGUGGAAAACAGAGGAUGCUUACAGCACUUGAACAAAUGAACUAGUUUCCACAUGAUCAGCAGAACACAGAAAUAUGAAAUCAGAGUUGAUUUAGGUGGCAAAAAUAAAGUCCUACACAUACACGGAAUGUAAACAUUCUCUGACUCAUUACAGAACAGUUGCUUAAGACAGAAUUAAAUAGUCAACAUGUGCUCAUUCACUGAAGUCAUCAGUUUUAGAAACACACAAUAAGUGUAGCAUGCAUCUGUUCAGACUGAAUGUGAUCAUUACAUGGCUAUAAACUUCAGCCAAGAAAAGAAGUUACUAUAGCUCUCUCCCUUCUCACGAUUUCCUCAUCUUGCUUCAUAAAUAACUUCAGUCUGAAGUUAUUUGAGUUUCCACAUGUAAGAGUUACAACACCAUUUAUUUCUUAAAGGCUUGACACUUAAAGAGGCAGGGACACUGAAGGAAGAAAAAGGAAAUGUUCCUUUGGAAAAGCAGGUCUUAUACACAACCAGUUAACAUUUACCACAGUCAUGGUUCAAGCACUAUUUAACGCUUCUUACUCCCAUAAAUCCCACUUCCUUAGCAGUGUGGAACUGAAAAACAGCACUGCUUUCAUCUGUUACAGGUUUAUUGAGUAGCAAAUCUACUGGAGAGGAAGCAGCUUGCACACACAUUUUACAACCUUGGUCAAGUCCUCAUCUCUGAAAAUAUCUCUAGUCUGAGAAACCCUCUGAGAUGGUCAUCUACUAAGGAAACUCUUCCUCAACACAUUAAGCGAACUCCCAGUUCCAUACCUUGUAUUAUUUCCAAUAGUAAAAGAUUAUCAGAAUUUACAGUAAAGUCACAAAAGACCACUUCAAAACAGAAUUACAGCUUCUGCAGCUUGUUCUGGAUUUCACAUUUUUAUUGCAAGUACAUGACAAGUACCCAUUUUGGCCAGAACUUUCAGCUUUAUGCUUGCCUUCUUUUUAACAUUUAAAUGCACAUCCAGGUUAAUCUGCUGGAACACUCAGGAGUAGAUACCUUCCACGAAAACACUGUAUGAAAGGAUGCAGCAGGUACGGUACUAUCUUCUUAUUUUAGUCUCUGUUUUGUGUAGAGUGCUGAUGAACCCCAAAGCUCCAUGGUGAGGUCUCUUGACGAGGACUUCAGUAUCCUUUCCUUCCUCUGAAUCUUGCCCUGGUAUCCAACUGAAAAUUGAAGACAAUAUAUUAAGAGCAGGUAUUUUCCAAAAGAGGUAUUGUAGAGUGUUUGUGCUACCUUGGCACUUUGUAACAACAGAACAAAGGCCAGAAUAAAGCAGAAGAAAACUAGUGAUGUAACCAACAAGCCACAGGGGAUUCCAAUGAAAGAGGGAUUAUACAAUCUUAAACAUCACACAAAACUAAAAUUAUGUGGUAAGUGUCUUAUGCAUUCUGAAAUAAACAACAUAAAUUAUAGAACAGCAUAGUAGGAUGGCAAGGAACCCAUGAAAAACAAGGUAAAUCUGCUUAGAUAAUUUUGCAAAUGUAACCGAUAAAGUGAAGGAGGAAAAUUCAGAUCUGGUUGAAGUAAGAGUCAGUAGAAAUGUCUGUAAGGAGAGGGAUAACUUAAAUACACCAAGUUUCUGGAAAAAAUAUAAGCCAAUCAGUAAAAACAGAAACAUUAUUAAACUUGUAAAAUCUGCACAUUUAAUCUUGGCAAUUACAGAAAAAACAUUUACUGAAAGGCUAAAGAUGAUGGUAAACUAAAAUAAAUGCCACAGUGCAGUACUUACAGAAGCUAAACUGCAAGUUCUUUCCCAAUGCAGCAGAAAAACAUACUGUGAUCUUGGGAGAAUCUUUCUGAACUUAGCCAUCUUGAAGAGGGCCAUGACAGAUUGCAACUCAGCCAUAUUCUGAUAUUAGACUGAGGAGGUUUCUUUUACCACCAUUAACUAACCCUCUUCCAGAAUUCAGAACUGCAGCAAAAUUUGUAAAGAGCUAGACUCACGAUGACACAGCUUGUCCAAUAACCAAGCAGCUUUCACUUUCAACCUUGGCCCAACUUCAACAUCUAAAGUGUACUAAAGUUAUUCCUCUGAUUAGACUUCCUCUUUCCUUGAAAAGAAAACAGCAUUGAGGUAAAACCCCUGAUGAUUUUUGCAUACUGAAAGUUAUAUCUGUAUUUAGUCUCUAACUUGGUUUUGGACACUCUUUAAGUUUCACUAUUAUAAUGUAUACCAAGUUUGACUGAGCAUGAUUAUGGAGAUUUACAGAAUUAACAGGACACUCAUCAAUCUUAAAAUUUGGGAGAGUUAAAUAAAAUCAUUUAAGAGCCAGGCCCGUCCCUGCAUGACUAGAGGCAUUUAGCUAGAAACUUUAAUCAGGCUCCCUUAACAAUUCACAGGCAGAAAAAUAUAGACAUAUCAUCUGGAGAUGCAUAUGUUGCUACUGCAGCUUUAUAUAGGUAUUUCAAACUUUCAAUAUACAACAUCUUCCCAUACACAGAAAUAAUAAUUUGUCACUUUAUGGAUUAAUAUGGUUCAUAUAGAAGAGGUACAAAAAGCUCCUACAAUGAAUACAAAAUGGAAGAAAAAUUUAAAGUACCAUUGCAGCUUAAAGUACCUUAGCCAUUUUGACAGUAAAGAAAAAAUUAAGAACAUUUUGUAUGUAAAUGGUUGUAAAUUUCUCUUUAUUGUAGAUAAUUGUGUAAAAAAGUUUGAAGUGUCCUUUUUUAUUAAAAUAUUUACAA